Molecule: ribosomal RNA, 478 nt
Filed under: uncultured bacterium
Lineage: Bacteria
Description: partial 16S ribosomal RNA
Rfam family: Bacterial small subunit ribosomal RNA
Source: RNAcentral
GAUGAACGCUAGCGGCAGGCCUAACACAUGCAAGUCGAGGGAGAAGCCCUUUCGGGGGCCGAAACCGGCGCACGGGUGCGUAACGCGUAUGCAACCUACCUUUCACAGGGGGCUAGCCCGAAGAAAUUUGGAUUAAUACCCCAUAAUCUUAUUGGAUGGCAUCAUUUGAUAAUUAAAACUGCGGUGGUGAAAGAUGGGCAUGCGUCCUCUUAGAUAGUUGGAGUGGUAACGUCACCCCAAGGCUACGAUAGGUAGGGGUGCUGAGAGGGAGAUCCCCCACACGGGUACUGAGACAGGGACCAGGCGACUACGGGAGGCAGCAGUGAGGAAUAUUGGUCAAUGGUCGGAAGACUGAACCAGCCAUGCCGCGUGCAGGAAGAAUGCCUUAUGGGUUGUAAACUGCUUUUAGAGGGGAAGAAUAAGGCGUACGUGUACGUUGAUGACGGUACCAGAUGAAUAAGCAUCGGCUAACUCCGUG